This is a non-coding RNA of Pantherophis guttatus, 514 nucleotides long. NCBI's taxonomy places the organism in Eukaryota, Metazoa, Chordata, Lepidosauria, Squamata, Colubridae. The record is from the annotation of a RefSeq genome assembly.
CCAUCCUUCUGAGGCUACACGCAUCAACACGAAGUUUGUGCACUUCCCCAAAUCAAUUCCCCUCCAAUCUUUAGAGAGAGCAAAAAUGAUCCUCUGGCUAAACAUCUUAUCCAUACUAGCAGUCCUCAGAGGUGCCCAUUCUCAGGCCCAGUUGGUGGAGUCUGGAGGGGACUUGAGAAGACCAGGAGAAUCCCUCAGUCUCUCCUGCCAAGCCUCUGGAUUCACCUUCAGCAGCUAUGGCAUGCACUGGGUGAGACAGGCUCCAGGGAAAGGCCUGGAAUGGGUUGCACUCAUCUAUUAUGAUUCCAGUGAGAAGUUCUACUCAGACAAAGUGAAGGGACGCUUCACCAUCUCCAGGGACAAUGCCAAAAGCCAGCUGUAUCUGCAAAUGAACAACCUCAAACCAGAGGACACGGCAGUCUAUUACUGUGCUGGAAGCACAGUGAGAGGAAGUGAAUCUGUAGCAAAGCAAAAACUUCCCAUUUCACAUAGCAGAGAGAAUUUAGAAUUCUAA